UCGCACCUCUUUCCCGGAGCCACUUGGGGCGGGCGCGGCGCACUGCAGAGGCCCGGGUUCCCGCGGCUUGAGGGAAACGGCUGAGGGCCGGAGGAUCUGCUUGCACAACCCCCUUCUCGCGCCCGCCGGGAUCCCAGAUCUUCACCCACCCCAGGAAACCAUACCCUGUCCCCGUGUGGAGAUGCAAACCGCUGAAAACCGCAGCGUGGACCCGAGCUGCCCUUUAGGACAGUCUCUCCCUGGGAAGAUCCCUCUCGCGACCACAGCCUGUCGUCUGGGGACAGCUAAGGAGACGCUGCUCAAAACUGGGGACGAAGACUUACCUGAAGCCGCAAGCUCAUUCCGACUUCGCCAGUGACCUUGGACGCCUCUUCUGAACAAGGUGUCUCUGUUGAACUUCCUGAUUCUGGGGAUAAAGGUGGCUAUUCACUUUCUAACUCUAAGGAGGUCAUCCCCAUCAAGAACUUUUCCACCUGCCUCAGUUCUUGGGAGAGCCAGUCACUGUCCAUUUACAUGUGUCCUCUCUAAGACCAUCAUCCAGUUACCUCUUAAAUGUGGGUGUUUUCUUGCCUGUCCACUGAUCUCACAAUCGUAAGUCAACUGUGUAUGUAACCUCUCCUACUCAGUUCCUACAUCCAGUGAGUAGUAACAAGGAAGUUUGUUGCAAGUGAGUGAGAAAACUUAGGCAAAGAUGUGUUUGGCAUAGCUGCUGAGGGGAGAGAAAGGGAGUUGGCUAAGAUGUGCUGGUCAGGGCAGGGAGCCCAGUGGAAUUUGCACAUCUUAAAUUUGUAAUGUUUUGAAACCGCUCAGUGGUAUAUUAUUUCCAUCACGCUAAGAAUAGGAAAAAAAUUGAUUUAGUGGAUAUUUGGGAAGAAAAAGGUAUAAAAUCUCUCUACAUAAAUUUCCUUAAGGUCUUCACUGGGACUGCUCCCUACACUGACAUCAUAUCCUCAGAUGGUUGAGAGUGUAUGGUUAUCAAAAAACGGGAAUCUCUAACCACUUUGUAUUUAAAUCAACACAUCCUUCUUGUUUGAUGCGAUAACUCUUUAUUCUACCCUUCCUUCAUUUUCAGAGAUGUAAGUUUAUAUUUAUUUUUAAAAAAUUCAUAUGUAAUAAAGUUAGAUUUGUCUAUAGACCUUGAUGUAAUCUUUAUAGACUUUAAGAUGAUUUUUUAAAUACCAAAUCCUGGAACAGACACAAUAAAUUUUGAUGUAAACAUUUGGAGCUAUCCCCCUAAAAAGGGGCUCCCUUGUAUUUUUAGAACUGGUCUGAACCAGCUCUUUCUUAACUAGAAUCCUUAUCUGACAAUGCAUGGAUAAUUGCAUGUCUGAAUUCAUAUGUGUUAUUUGGUUUUCUACUUCAUGUUCCAUUUUCUGUUGCAGAUACUUGAACAUAUUACAUAAAAUUAUUAGAAGUCAGAGAGAAUUAUAUUUUGGAUAAAAUCCAAAUAUUUUACUGUGGCCUUUCAUUUAGAGGUCCCCAGUCUGUCUCUCCAGCUGCAGCUUCCCCAGCCUCACAACAUAUGCUCUAGCCAUAUUGAAUUACUUCUGAAUCUUCAAACAUGCCUUGCCCUCUCUUGCCAGCUUGUCCUUGCUUGUGCUACUCAUUCACAGUAGAUUACAUUCUCUCUAACUAAUUCCUGUGAACUUUUCAAAGCUUCUCCUUGGGAUGUCUUUCCUGGCACCCUAAUGUUAACUCUAUCAUAGGACUUCAUGCAUCACACUGUAAUAAUUCUAUCUUUGUUACUCCUGCUAGACAGUAAGAUCCUUGGAGACUGUUUUUGUCCUGAUAUCCAGUGCCUAGCACAGGGCUUGACAAUUGAAGGCAUUCAAUAAUUGAUAUUCAGCUGAAUGAAUGAAUGAAUGGAUGAAAGAAGUUACUCUUUGUGUUUCAUUUUUCUUUUUAAGUCACAUUACUCUUUUUCAUAUUUUCAGUCAUUUGUCACAGUUUUUUGAAUAUAAAAUCAUGUUUUAGUAGUACUUAAUAUAAAUAUUGUUUGUGAGUGUUUUUGCAUUUUUGUAGUUAUCUAGUAUUAUUCACCAGAGAUCUUGUGCUAUUCCUGCUCCCCUAGGAGCUUCACCUCCUCUGUUUUUAUGCAUUUACUUGCUUCCACCUGCAGUCCUGGACUGGUUCGUACUGCAGCAGAAAGUAUAAAAGCCUUCCUGCCAGGGACUGGAGGUUGCCUUAAAAUCAAACUCUCCUUUUUGUUGGUACCUGGCAUCUUUUCUUCUCUUCUUACUUGUAGGUCACCUGGUUCCUACUGACCUGCCUGAGCUUUUGCCUUGCCUUCCAGCUUUGGGAAUCUUCAGUUCUUCUAAAUCUUCUUGUCUCUGCACUCACCUGCUGUUUGCUCUGACCUUCCUUGCAGGCAUUGAUUUUUCCUUUUCUUCUUGGUUUCUGACUUACUGCAAUGUCUGACCUCUGACUUAUCUGUGUGUUUGAAUUAUGGACUAAGCAAUAUGGUUGCUGUUUUUUUUAAUCACUUCACCUGGAUCCCUUCAUUUGAAUAUACCUUGGCUUUCCUGGUCUUAGAUGAAUGCAUUAUUAUCUUUAGGUAAAGUCCUGGCUCUAUAUAAGAAUGCUAUUCCUAUUUCUUCAUAUUGUAACUUUGGAAACUGAGGCACAGAGAUUUAUAAACUCCAAGUUAACUACUAUGUUAUUUAUGAUAUAUAAGCAAAACAUAUAUUCUAAUGAACCUGAAAGUAGUGUUUAAUCUAUGAUAUACUAAAUAAGUAUUCUUAAUUGUGGCUGUGCAUGAGAAUUACUUGUGGAACCUACAGUAUAUGCAGGUGCUUGGGCCCUCCGACUGAAUCAGAAUCUUGUGUGGUGUGGCCUCAGCAUAUAUACUUUCCAAAGUGUCUUGAUUCAUUUUGAUGGACAACAUGGGCUGAAGUUGAGAAGCACUGCCGCACCAAUGAUUACCCUAGAUGUUGUACAUUGGAUAUGACAACGAGGAUCUCAAAUCUUAGAGGACUAAUAAAAACCAACAUUAUUCAUUGCUUACUGUAUGCAUCUAAUUUUUCAUUUAAUUAACCUUCAAAUCAACACUAUGAGCUAGGUACUGUCCACAUAGACGGUGAUUAAACUUAAAUUGAAAGAUGUUCGGUUACUGGGCCAAGGUUACGUAGUUAACUGCAGAGCAGGUAUUUAAACCCAAGUCUUUCUUAUGCUUAGAUGUUGUGCUGUAUAGCAUACCAAUAACUCAUUGAUUCUUUGUCAUCAUAAACAGUAUAUUGGAUCUGUUACUAAUCCAUCAUUUUACUACUAGAGUUAAUAUGUUCAAAAGAAAUCUGAUCCUCUUAUUACCUUGCUUGAGGAUUCCUGUAGUCUCCUAAUUGCUGACAAGAUAAAGUAAAUUUUCCUUGCCAUGAUAUAAAAUAUCCCUCACAAUCUGUUUUCCAACUCCCUCUCCAAUUCUAUCUUCCCCAUCAUUUCCUCUAUCCAUUUCCCACCAUUUUUGUUACACAUCAAACUCAGAAACAAUGAAAUACCUUUGUAUUGGGAUUUGAGAGUCAUUUGAAGAGGAAAUCAAUUCUCCUUUCCAGAUUCUGAAACAAUUGAAGAGUCAU
Mirounga angustirostris (Northern elephant seal) is the source of this 3569-nucleotide long non-coding RNA. RefSeq lists it as uncharacterized. The record is from RefSeq and is a predicted model, not a curated record. The transcript is spliced from 3 exons. NCBI's taxonomy places the organism in Eukaryota, Metazoa, Chordata, Mammalia, Carnivora, Phocidae.